GCCACCAUGCCCAGCUCAUUCUGGUUUUUGAGGAGCAUCACAGAAGCGUCUCUCACUGGCACUGUGACAAUGUUCAUCCCAUAAACUAAUGAUCAUCUUCUCUAAGCAGCAGUCAGUGGUGUUGAAAUUUCUCCUAGCGGGGACAUCAUUUGGGCUCACAGCCUCAUAUGUAUGAGGCUGUUGACUGAACUCUUGUUCAUUUCACAUUUUUCACACCAAUAUAUGUCAUUGUUCAUUUUUUGUUUGUUUGUUUGUUUUUUGUUUUUGUUUUUGAGACAGUCUCGCUCUUUCACCCAGGCCGACUGCAGUGGCACGAUCUCGGCUCACUGUAAGCUCCGCCUCCCGGGUUCAAGCCAUUCUUCUGCCUCAGCCUCCUGAGUAGCUGGGAUUACAGGCAUGCACCACCACCCCCGGCUAAUCGUUGAAUUUUCAGUAGAGACGGGGUUUCAUCACGUUCGCAAGGCUGGUCUCGAACCCCUGAUCUCAGGUGAUGCCCCCACGUCGGCCUUCCAAAGUGCCAGAAUUACAGGCGGGAGCCAAUGCAACCGGCCAAGGAUAGCUUUAAAUCAACAAAGUAAUAAGUUUUGUUACACUGUCAGCCCACUGGCAGGUAGACAUACCUUAGUUUUUACCUAAGCACCUAUGUAAGAGAAACUUUAAGAGAAGGCAGUUCCCUUUGUUUUUGAGGUCGCCCUACUGUGUAACUGGUAGUUUUCUUUUUUUUUUCUUUUUUUUUUUAAGACGGAGUCUCGCUCAGGCUUGAGACACCUUGUCCAGCUGUAUUUUUUAUUAUUAUUAUUAUUAUUAUUAUUAUUAUUAUUAUUAUUAUUAUUUUGUUUUUGAGACUGAGUUUCACUCUAGUUCCCUGGGCUGGAGUACAAUGUCAUGAUCAUGGCUCACCACAGCUUCCAUUUUCUGGGCUCAAGCGAUUCUCCUGCCUCAGCCUCCGGAGUAGCUGGGACUACAGGCUCAUGCCACCACUCCAGGCUAAUUUUUAUAUUUGUAGUAGAGACGGGGUUUCUCUAUAUUGGUCAGGCUGGUCUCGAACUCCCGACCUCAGGCCAUCCGCCGUCCUCAGCCUACCAAAGGGCUGGGAUUACAGGCUUGAGCCACCGCGCCCGGCCUGAAGUAGAAUAUUUUAGAAAGUAAUUAAACCUUUUUUCAGCAUAAUAACCCAGAGAUGUACUUCUGAAGGACUUAGAAUCUCUUCUUGAAAGGCAAGCAACAAGGGAGAUAGUACCUGUAAGUCAGUAGGAAAUUAAAUAUUUCAAACAUCAGCUAUUUCAAAUUUAAAGCUACAGACUUUUAAAUAAUUCGGAACCUUGAGAGGAACGUGGUCAUGCAACCUGAGUCCGGUGGCAUGCAGGCGCAACUUCUACAAGUUUUCCUGGCCAGGCAUGCAGGCUCAGGCCUGUAAUCCCAGCACUCUGGGAGGCUGAGGCGGGCGGAUCGCCUGACGUCAGGAAUUAGAAACCAGCCUGGCCAACAUGGGGAAACCCCGUCUCUACUGAAAAUACAAAGCCAUUAGCCGGGCAUGGUGGCGCACGCCUGUAUUUUCAGCUAUUUGGGAGGCUGAGGCAGGAGAACUGCUUGAACCCAGGACGUGGAGGUCGUAGUGAGCCGAGAUCACAUCACUGCAUUCCAGCCUGGGCGACAGAGCAGGACGCCUUCCCAAAACAAAACAAAACAAAACAAAAUGUGCUAUACAAUUUAGUUUCCUAAUAUCAAUUUUAAAAAGUUUUCGUGUAAAUAAUUAGGAAAACUAAGCAGCCCCAGAGAUAAGACCUCCUGGCAUCAUUGUCCCUUCUUAUGGAGUGAUAAUGUAACCUUCCUUGAAGUGUAUCACUCCAUCACCAGUCAAGCUGCCGCAGCCUAUGCACUGGACUUGAAUGGAAAAUGUGGUGGUUCUGGGAAAGCUUCUCUGUAUUUCCUUGUGUGUGUGAAAUGUUAAUGUCUCUACUUGGGAACGCUGACCCCAUUCAUUUGGAGUUGAGGUUUCCAGGUGGCUAUUCUCAUGCUUUGUGUCCAAAUAAACUCUAUAAUUAAUAAUGUAUUCUAAAUUUCAUUAUUUACUGCUGACAUCAGUUUCUGUUGGAUUGUAGGAGCCUCACCAGAGAGGGCACCUGUCCGCCAUGCUGUAAAACUCACACUUGCCAAAAAUACAUGGGUUAGGGUUUCUCCCCCUCCCUCAGGAUGAUGCUAGUUAGCUGACACAGAUGGUCACCUCCAUUACCAAGUAGAGCCAGGAUGAAUUAUGUGUGACCAAGGGUGUUGUCAAGUCCUCUUCCCUGAGGACUGAUCAGUGUUUAUCUUGAAAACAUGUAUUUGGGUUGUAUAGAACAGUGAAGUUUCUUUCUCUCUUUUCAACCUCUCAACUGUCCUCUAUUUCCCAUCACAUGCUGGUCUAAGGCCUAUUUAUUAAUAAAAUAGUUUUUAUUUCUUUCUCUGUUAUCGUCGUGAAGAUGAUUUCUCAUUUAGGGGAAGAUUUUUUUAGUUUUCAAUUGUAUUUUCUCAACAUUUAAGAGCGAAGUGAAGAGUAUUUCUUGGGCCAGGCACAGUGGUUCACGCCUGUAAUCCCAGCAUUUCAGGAGGCCGAGGCAGGCGGAUCACUUGAAGUCAGGAGUUCGAGACCAGCCUGGCCAACAUGGUGAAACCCCGUCUCUACCCAAAAUACAAAAA
This 2679-nucleotide long non-coding RNA is filed under the name Homo sapiens (human). Its description in RNAcentral is "HSALNT0398641". Lineage: Eukaryota; Metazoa; Chordata; Mammalia; Primates; Hominidae. The record is from RNAcentral.